AUAUAAGUCAGAAGUAGAAAAAGGGACAUAAACUAAGAAGGGUGCUGAGCGCUCAUCACCUGGAGGGACUUGUGCCUCUCUCAGUAGUAGUAGAGGGGCUACUUCUUCCUGCCACGGUCAUGACUGAGAGGCAAUGGGUGGCGAGCCUACAGGGGACGUCGUCGAGGAGACACGGGAUAACUUUAAGGGAGAAGACAGACAAGGGGAGGGGAUCCAGUGAUGGGAUCAGUCAGAUGCCUGCCUGGCCGCUCCCCCUGAGGGGACUUGGGCUCCUCUUAGCAUUGGCAGGCCGGUAUCAACUUGCGGCUCAGAUCGAGCUAUGCCUGAUGCUGCCUUAAGCCUUAAGAGGUCGCCACGGAACCGCAGGUGAGGGCCCACUUGAACUCCGUAGCUUUCGCCGUGGAGCUACAAACUGCAGGACAAACGCAAGCCCUUGUCCUCCGUCAUUCAUUCAUUAUUCACACAGAGUUUAUAACAGUUUUUUUUUUCUUUCUUGGAGAUUCUUCAAGAAACUUGAACAAGAGAUAGAAAAAGAGAGACAGAGAGAGUGACCGGUCUGCCAGAAACCAGGACUCAGUCCUCCAGCAUCCUGGGAUGUGGACUGAGCCAAGGGAGUGCCCCUGUCAGGGCCACUUCCCUCCUAGACAGAGACACAGAGGUGCCUAACAGAAAAGCAGGGCUCCACCUUCUAGCGUCCUAGAGUAAGGGGCAGUCAAAAGAGGGACGCCCUCAUAAGGGCCGCUUCCCUCUUACUAGAACUGAAGUCAAAUCUGACCUACCUGACCUCGGGGUCAGAAGUGGAGGACUCAGAGGUGGAAUUUUUGUGGGCACCCACACGGUAGUCGAUCCGCUCUCCUCUGGAAGACGGUCACCUUUCGGGGACCGGAAAAUUUUAUUUUCAGGUGGGGCCCCACUACAAGCCGGCCGUCCUUCCGGGGGGGGCCCGGAGCAAGCCCGGCUCUCGCCUGGUGGUGUUUCUCACUGGGGCCUCCAAAUGUUGUACUUGAGCGAGUUAGAGAAAAUGCCACACUUUGAGACGAAUUAUGAGUCUAUUUAUUUAGCCGGUGGCCAAGAUACGGUUAAUGCUUAAACUUCUAUCGGCCCUGAAGAAGGGGCUAGAUUUUCUUUUAUAGUUUAGUUUAGAAAGGGGAAAGGGGUCUAGUUAAAACAAUUUUACAGAAGUAGGCAAAGAAUUUAAAAGGAUAAAUUGUUACAGGAAAGUAAACAGUUCUAGGUCUAAGGGCUUUAAGACUAUUACAAAGUGAUAGAUGCGGGGCUUGGGGUGUUAUCAAUCAGACGAAUUCCUGGGAACUGCGGAUAUUGCUCGCCACACAGUAUCUUAUCAGCUAAUUGCAUUCUUAGCUGUGCUAAGAGUCAGCUUGCACAAGUUAAGUCCUUGAGUAAGGGGCUGCCAGUGAAAAAGCCAAGACAAAGUCUGUCUAGCUCUCUUAGCUAAAAGAAAGUCAAUUCAGGUAGAAACAAGGCUAAGUGAUUAAAAGAAAAGGAAAGUCUACGAACAAAGUUAAUAAAAACAAGGUUAGGCAUUACAGAUGGGGUCAUCCUUAUAUUCAGCACAGUGUUUGUUCUGAAACUUCAAUGGAGUGCUCCUAGUUCGAUAACUUGGGCCAUGCCAAAUAAAUUGAAUUUCUCUUUCUUAACAACAGAUGUUUGAAUACAGCCCCGUGUCCCUCUCUGCUCCUUCCUGCCUUCCUCCUCUCCUCUUCCUUCCCUUCCUUUUCAAGAGCAGGCUUUGCAAACUUUCUUGAAAGCAUCAGAUAGUAAAUAUUUUCGAAUUCGUGGACCAUACAGUCUCUUGUAGUAGUUACUCAACUCUGCCACCCAUAGCAUGAAAGCAGCUGAUAUAGGGUGAAUAUGUGUCCCCACCCAAAUCUCAUGUUGCAAUGUAAUACCCAGUGUUAGAGGUGGUGGGGCCUGGUGGGAAGAGAUUUGAUCAUGGGGGUGGAUUUCUCAUGAAUGAUUUAGCAUCAUCCCUUUGGUCCUGUCCUUGCAAUAGUGAGUGAGUUCUUGCAAGAUCUGGUUGUUUACCAGUGUGUAGCACCUCCCUCCUCACUCUCUUGCUCCCACUUCAGCUUCUGCCAUGAUUGUAAGUUUCCUGAGGCCUCCACAGAAGCUCAGCAGAUGUCAGUGUCAUGCUCCCUGUACAGCCUACAAAACUGUGAGCCAAUUAAACCUCUUUUCUUUAUACAUCACCCAGUCUCAGGUAUUUCUUUAUAGCAUGAGAGAACAGCUUAAUCCAGCAGCCAUAGACAAUAUGUAGCAGAUGGGCAUGGCUGUGUUUCAGUAAAACUUUAUUGACAAAAACAUGUGCAGGCAGGUCAGAUUUGGCCCAUGGGCCAUAGUAUCCCUACCCCUGCUCUGGAAUAUUCUCUUCAGCAACCUCUGCCUCCUGGGUUGAAGCAAUUCUCCUGCCUCAGCCUCCCAAGUAGCUGGGAUUACAAGCACCUGCCAGCACACCUGGCUAAUUUUUGUAUUUUUUAAUAGAAAUAGGGUUUUACCAUGUUGGCCAGGCUGGUCUCAAACUCCUGACAUCAGGUGAUCCACCCACCUCAGCCUCACAAAAUGCUGAGAUUACAGGCGCCCACCACCACACCUGGCUAAUUUUUGUAUUUUUAGUAGAGAUGUGAUUUCACUAUGUUGCCCAGGCUGGUCUCAAACUCCUGAUCUCAAGUGAUCCACCUGCCUCAGCCUCCCAAAGUGCUGGGAUUACAGGUGUGAGCCACUGCAGCUGCCCUCUAGUUUUUUGUUUUUUUUUUUUUUUUGACCAUUGCUUAUUUGGUGUAACUUUCAUUUUCUUUCCCAUUGUGGUAGCCAUUUUCUGAAUGCCUGUUAGUUUUUCCGUCUCUCUCCUCUGUAGUCCCUGGAAUCAGAUGAACUCCUCUGCAGGUGCAAUGGUGUAACACUCUCUAGUGCUGAAUUUUGAGCAGGAGAAAGAGAGCAAGAGUGACCAGCACUCUUGGAAACUCUGGCCUCCUGAGAAUUUGGUGUCUUCUCUACAAAGGCUGCAAACCUGUUAACCCACAGGCCAGAGAGAGAGAGAAGCCAUGAAGCAUGAUCUGUUAAGCAUGAGUUUAAUAUUUGAUGCCCAGAGAUCACGGUGUUUUUUCAUGAGAAUUAGAGGGGGAGACACGGCCACAGAGAACAAUUUCUAUCCCCAGGUGAGGAUUCAGGAGAUAAUUGUGUGAACAGAACUUCCUGAGAAUUGAGAUGGGGGAAAAUCGCUGGUGUUAGAAAGGUGAAAAGGUCACUAAUUAAGGCUACGACUAUGCUCUGAGAGGCGAAAGAAGAAAAUGAGACUGCCAGGCAUGAAUAAUGAGAAAUCUUUGAUGGAAUUAGCCAUGCAGAACAGAUACUAAAUGCAUCCUCAUUCCUCUCAUAGUC
This 3399-nucleotide long non-coding RNA is filed under the name Pan troglodytes (chimpanzee). Lineage: Eukaryota; Metazoa; Chordata; Mammalia; Primates; Hominidae. The record is from RNAcentral.